CAAAUACUCCAUCCGUUCCAAAACUCUUGUCGUAGAUUUGUCUAAAUACGGAUGUAUCAAGUCAUGUCUUAGUAUUAGAUACAUCCGUACAUAGACUAAUCUAGACAAGAAUUUUGGGACGGAGGGAGUACUAA
Molecule: non-coding RNA, 134 nt
Organism: Triticum aestivum (bread wheat)
Lineage: Eukaryota; Viridiplantae; Streptophyta; Magnoliopsida; Poales; Poaceae
Source: Rfam